This 498-nucleotide ribosomal RNA is filed under the name uncultured bacterium. RNAcentral describes it as "partial 16S ribosomal RNA". It matches the Rfam family "Bacterial small subunit ribosomal RNA", at positions 30 to 526 of the family's 1533-position model. The record is from RNAcentral.
AUUGAACGCUGGCGGCAUGCCUUACACAUGCAAGUCGAACGGUAACAGGUCUUCGGAUGCUGACGAGUGGCGAACGGGUGAGUAAUACAUCGGAACGUGCCUAGUAGUGGGGGAUAACUACUCGAAAGAGUGGCUAAUACCGCAUGAGAUCUACGGAUGAAAGCAGGGGAUCGCAAGACCUUGUGCUACUAGAGCGGCCGAUGGCAGAUUAGGUAGUUGGUGGGAUAAAAGCUUACCAAGCCGACGAUCUGUAGCUGGUCUGAGAGGACGAUCAGCCACACGGGGACUGAGACACGGCCCAGACUCCUACGGGAGGCAGCAGUGGGGAAUUUUGGACAAUGGGCGAAAGCCUGAUCCAGCAAUGCCGCGUGCAGGAUGAAGGCCUUCGGGUUGUAAACUGCUUUUGUACGGAACGAAAAGCCCCGGGUUAAUACCCUGGGGUCAUGACGGUACCGUAAGAAUAAGCACCGGCUAACUACGUGCCAGCCGCCGCAAUAC